UACAGAGACCUCAAGCGUUAUCCGGAAUCAUUGGGCGUAAAGCGUACCGAUAGGUGGUUUAUUAAGUUUUGGGUAAGAGCCAGAAGCUCAACUUCUGCGUUUGCUCAAGAUACUGAUAGACUAGAGGGACAAAGAGGUUGCUGGAACGAACGGUGUAGUAGUGAAAUGCGUUGAUAUCGUUCGGAACACCGAAAGCGAAGGCAGGCAACUGGGUGUCACCUGACACUGCUAGGACGAAAGCGUGGGGAGCGAAUGGG
This 257-nucleotide ribosomal RNA is filed under the name uncultured prokaryote. RNAcentral describes it as "partial 16S ribosomal RNA". It matches the Rfam family "Bacterial small subunit ribosomal RNA", at positions 524 to 776 of the family's 1533-position model. The record is from RNAcentral.